Molecule: non-coding RNA, 363 nt
Organism: Callithrix jacchus (white-tufted-ear marmoset)
Lineage: Eukaryota; Metazoa; Chordata; Mammalia; Primates; Cebidae
Source: RefSeq, a predicted model, not a curated record
AAACCACAUUACAUUUAAUUGUCAUGUCUACUCUUGGCUGUGACAAUUUCUCAGGCUCCUCUGGUCUUUGAUGAACUUGGCAGUAUUAAAGAGUACUGAUGGAUUCUCACUCUGUGGUGCAGGCUGGAGAAGAGUGGCAUGAUCUCAGCUCACUGCAACCUCUGCCUCCCAGGUUCAAGCGAUUCUCCUGUCUCAGCCUCCCAAGUAGCUGGGAUUACAGAAAAAUCUGGCUUUGUGUCACCGGGUGACUAAGCAACAGGACGGGAUAUAAAAUUGAUGAUGAAUAUGAAAAUCAGACACAGAGCCAUGACAAAAACCCAACCAAUGAAAGAAACCAGAAAACAAAAACUUGGAAGUCUUGUU